UGGUUCUGGCAUCGAUGAAGAACGCAGCGAAAUGCGAUAAGUAAUGUGAAUUGCAGAAUUCAGUGAAUCAUCGAAUCUUUGAACGCACAUUGCGCCCAUUAGUAUUCUAGUGGGCAUGCCUGUUCGAGCGUCAUUUCAACCCUUAAGCCUGGCUUAGUGUUGGGAGUCUACGCCGGCGGUGUUACCCUGUAGCCCGCCUGUAGUUCCCCAAAUCCAACGGCGGAGCUGUUGUAUCCUCUGAGCGUAGUAAUCAUCUUCUCGCUUCUGUAGGUGCGACGGUCCCUGCCGUUAAACCCCCAAAUUAUACUGGUUGACCUCGGAUCAGGUAGGAAUACCCGCUGA
RNAcentral lists this unclassified non-coding RNA (342 nucleotides) under uncultured fungus. RNAcentral describes it as "partial contains 5.8S ribosomal RNA and internal transcribed spacer 2". The stretch from base 1 to 133 matches the Rfam family "5.8S ribosomal RNA", at positions 22 to 154 of the family's 154-position model. The record is from RNAcentral. Lineage: Eukaryota; Fungi.